AACGCGAAAGUUCCCUUCGGGGGACGAGUAGAGUGGCGCUCGGGUGAGUAACACGUAGGUAAUCUGCCUUCGGGUGGGGAAUAACAGCCGGAAACGGCUGCUAAUACCGCAUAAUGCAGCGGCACCACAUGGUGACAGUUGUUAAAGCGGGGGAUCGUAAGACCUCACGCCUAGAGAGGAGCCUGCGGCGGAUUAGCUAGUUGGCAGGGUAACGGCCUACCAAGGCAACGAUCCGUAGCCGGCCUGAGAGGGCGGUCGGCCACACUGGCACUGACACACGGGCCAGACUCCUACGGGAGGCAGCAGUCGGGAAUUUUGGGCAAUGGGCGAAAGCCUGACCCAGCAACGCCGCGUGAAGGAUGAAGCUUUUCGGAGUGUAAACUUCAUAAGAAUGGGACGAAUAAGGAAGGGCUAAUACCCCUUUUGAUGACGGUACCAUUUGUAAGCUCCGGCUAACUCCGUGCCAGCAGCCGCGGUAAUACGGGGGGAGCAAGCGUUGUUCGGAUUUACUGGGCGUAAAGGGCGCGUAGGCGGCGCAACAAGUCACUUGUGAAAUCUCCGGGCUUAACCCGGAGCGGCCAAGUGAUACUGUCGUGCUAGAGUGCGGAAGGGGCUACUGGAAUUCUCGGUGUAGCGGUGAAAUGCGUAGAUAUCGAGAGGAACACCUGCGGCGAAGGCGGGUAGCUGGGCCGACACUGACGCUGAGGCGCGAAAGCCAGGGGAGCGAACGGGAUUAGAUACCCCGGUAGUCCUG
This 754-nucleotide ribosomal RNA is filed under the name uncultured bacterium. RNAcentral describes it as "bacterial SSU rRNA". It matches the Rfam family "Bacterial small subunit ribosomal RNA", at positions 65 to 798 of the family's 1533-position model. The record is from RNAcentral.